UGCAGUUAGCAUCCAAAGCAUCAAACUCCUUUCUCAUGGCAUCCUGCCAUACUAGAACUGAUGCAGCUUGAGAGUAGUAAAGGGGUUCAGUCUCCAGAGGAGAAGAAGAAGACCCAGAGAAAGCAGGAAGGUUACAAAAAUAAUCCUUAAGAUAAGAAGGAGGAUUGUGUUGUCUGCCAGAUUUCCUGGGAACAGCAGUUGAUGUGGAAGAAGGUAAAGCAAGAGGGGAGAUGUCAGGGUUGAAAGGAGGACUGCAAUUGGAUUUGAAGAAGGAGAAUCUGGAACACGAGGUGGAGGUGGAGAGGAAGAGAUUGGAACAGAGAAGUCUUGGUCAGAAGAGGAAUGUUCAAGAGAAGGAAUAAUAUGAAAAGAGGAAGGAAAAGCAGGAGGAACAGAAGUGACAGAAGAGGUAGAUUUGAAAGGAAAAGAAGUUUCAUGAAAGACAACAUCCCUGGACACAAAACACUUUUUGGAACUAAGAUCAUUUAGUUUAUAACCCUUUUUGGCAAAAGGAUACCCUAGGAAAACACAAGAAAUGGCCCUAGGCUUUAACUUGUCCCAUUGAGGAAUGGGGACAGUAGCAUAGGCAAGGCAGCCAAAAGCCUUUAAAUGAGACUAAGUGGGUGCCUUACCACGCAAGAUUUCAUAAGGGGAUUUACCUGAAGGAGCCUGGAGGGUAUUCUGUUAAUAAUAUAGGUAGCAGUUAAUAGACAAUCAUCCCAGAAAGAAAUGGGUAAACCAGACUGGAAAAGUAAAGCUCUACAGGUUUCAAGAAGAGUUCUAUGUUUUCUCUCAACAACACCAUUCUGUUGGGGAGUAUGUGGGCAAGUAUUUUGGUGUAUGAUGCCAUGUUGGUUAAAAAAGAAUGUACCUACAAUGCUAGAUCCCAAUUCUAAAGCAUUGUCACUCCUAACAGUUUGUACAUUUGCAUUGAAUUGGGUCUUGACCAUACAGAGAAAAGAUUGAAGCAUGCAGAAAGCAUUGCUUUUAGACCCCUGGGGAGUAUGUGGGCAAGUGGUUUGGUGUAUGAUGCCAUGUUUGUUAAAAAAGGAUGUACCAGCAAUGCUAGAUCCCAAUUCUAAAGCAUUGUCACUCCUAACAGUUUGUACAUUUGCAUUGAAUUGGGUCUUGACCAUACAGAGAAAAGAUUGAAGCAUGCAGAAAGCAUUGCUUUUUGACCCUAACAAAUGUGUCCAGGUUGCCCUAGAAAAAUCAUCAACUAUUGUGAGAAAAUAUCUAGAACCAGAAGAGGUGGGGGUAUGAUAAGGUCCCCAAGUAUCAACAUGAAUCAACUGAAAAGGUUUAGAUGUACUAGUAGUGCUUUCAGGAAAGGGAAGCCUAGUUUGCCUGGCCAUAGGACAGGUAGAGCAUUGAAAAGGCUGUUUAGAAGCAAAUGGAAAAGAUAAAGCAGAAAUGUGUUUCAUGUUUACAAAAGGUAUAUGACCCAACCUAAAAUGCCAAAUGUAAUCCAUGUCUGUGGCAACAGUAUUAUUACACAUGGAACUGUUUACAUUCAAAGGCAAACCAACAAUUUGAUUACUAGAAUAGUCAUGUUUACAAGAAUUAGAAGAAGAAGAACAUACAGAAACAGAAGAACCACAAUUAGAAGAAGAUGAAGGUGGCACCCAAACAAGCUUGUACAGACCAGAAGAAGAACAUACAGAAACAGAAGAACCACAAUUAGAAGAAGAUGAAGUUGGCACCCAAACAAGCUUGUACAGAACAGCCUCCUCUUUACCAAGAUCCAGAGGCAUCCUCAGAGAAGGGGCCUGUAACAAGUGAAAUAAACAUGAAGUUGCAGUGAACAGUACUAUGCAAUGCAACUAUUUCACUAACUUGUGGACAGAAAUCAAGUUAUGUUUGAAAGAAGGAACAAGUAGGAC
RNAcentral lists this long non-coding RNA (1883 nucleotides) under Nicotiana benthamiana. RNAcentral's name for it is "long non-coding RNA (NBEN_LNC020871)". Lineage: Eukaryota; Viridiplantae; Streptophyta; Magnoliopsida; Solanales; Solanaceae. The record is from RNAcentral.